GGGCCCGUAGCUCAGCCUGGUAGAGCACCGGCCUUUUAAGCCGGCUGUCGUGAGUUCAAAUCUCACCGGGCUCG
This 74-nucleotide transfer RNA is filed under the name uncultured archaeon. RNAcentral describes it as "tRNA-Lys(ttt)". It matches the Rfam family "tRNA". Rfam says of the family: Transfer RNA (tRNA) molecules are approximately 80 nucleotides in length. Their secondary structure includes four short double-helical elements and three loops (D, anti-codon, and T loops). The record is from RNAcentral.